UACGUAGGGGGCUAGCGUUAUCCGGAAUUACUGGGCGUAAAGCGUGCGCAGGCGGUUUUGUAAGACCGAUGUGAAAUCCCCGGGCUUAACCUGGGAACUGCAUUGGUGACUGCAAGGCUCGAGUGUGUCAGAGGGAGGUGGAAUUCCGCGUGUAGCAGUGAAAUGCGUAGAUAUGCGGAGGAACACCGAUGGCGAAGGCAGCCUCCUGGGAUAACACUGACGCUCAUGCACGAAAGCGUGGGGAGCAAACAGGAUUAGA
RNAcentral lists this ribosomal RNA (259 nucleotides) under uncultured prokaryote. RNAcentral describes it as "partial 16S ribosomal RNA". It matches the Rfam family "Bacterial small subunit ribosomal RNA", at positions 524 to 782 of the family's 1533-position model. The record is from RNAcentral.